CAGAGACUGCAAGCGUUAUUCGGAUUCACUGGGCGUAUAGGGUGCGCGGGCGGCCAAGUGUGUUAGGCGUGAAAGCCUGGGGCUUAACCUCAGAAUUGCACCUAAAACUACAUGGCUAGAGCAUUGGAGAGGGUAGCGGAAUUCACGGUGUAGCAGUGAAAUGCGUAGAUAUCGUGAGGAACACCAGAGGCGAAGGCGGCUACCUGGACAAUUGCUGACGCUCAGGCACGAAAGCGUGGGGAGCAAAAGGGAUUAGAUACCCCUGUAGUCCACGCCCUAAACGGUGCACACUAGGUCUUGGCGGAUUCGACCCCACCAGGGCCCAAGCUAACGCGUUAAGUGUGCCGCCUGAGGACUACGGUCGCAAGACUA
RNAcentral lists this ribosomal RNA (372 nucleotides) under uncultured organism. RNAcentral's name for it is "bacterial SSU rRNA". It matches the Rfam family "Bacterial small subunit ribosomal RNA", at positions 526 to 896 of the family's 1533-position model. The record is from RNAcentral.